This 79-nucleotide transfer RNA is filed under the name Ferruginibacter profundus. RNAcentral's name for it is "tRNA-His". It matches the Rfam family "tRNA". Rfam says of the family: Transfer RNA (tRNA) molecules are approximately 80 nucleotides in length. Their secondary structure includes four short double-helical elements and three loops (D, anti-codon, and T loops). The record is from RNAcentral. Lineage: Bacteria; Pseudomonadati; Bacteroidota; Chitinophagia; Chitinophagales; Chitinophagaceae. RNAcentral also lists the same sequence under 1 other name.
GGUAGUCGUAGCUCAGUUGGUUAGAGCAUCAGAUUGUGAUUCUGAGGGUCGGGGGUUCGAGCCCCCUCGAUUACCCCCA